This 842-nucleotide unclassified non-coding RNA is filed under the name Hevea brasiliensis (rubber tree). The record is from RNAcentral. Lineage: Eukaryota; Viridiplantae; Streptophyta; Magnoliopsida; Malpighiales; Euphorbiaceae.
AUGAUGAACAUCAAUGACAUCCAAGAAUUUUUCAAAUGCUUGAACCCACUCAUGAUGAUUCCAUACACGAGGAAUAUCAACGGAAAUAACCCGAUAACCCUUCAUGGACAAUGACAUAAUUUGUUUAUAGUAAACAUCAGCUGUCCCUGCUAUUCCAGGAAGGCAAAUUAGUGGCGGAACCACUUUAGGACCAAACUCAUAGUAUCGCCAUUGCUUAGUGCCCAUCUAUAAGAAAAAUAAAACAGGAAGUGAAAAAUGCAAAAUACAAGUUGAGAUGCUGGACAUAAAAAAUCAUUAAGAAAAAAAAUGUACCUUCAUUGGCAACCAAACAAUUGACGAAGAACAAAGAGUCUAAAGUUACAAACAAGGGCAGUAGUGUAGUGAAAUGGUGAAGCUAUGAAUGGAAAUUCAAUAUUAAUACUGAACAGAUGCAACACUUAACUGAGUGAAAUACAAAAUCAAAUUCAAGCUCAUAAGAAUACAUGCUAAAAAAAAUAAACCAAUUACAGUUUAAGCAUCUGACAUUAAAUAUUGAAUCUUUCAGAUUGGAAAAACAUAUACAUAAUUGAGUGUAUCAUCCACUUAAUCCGGAACCUUAUAACUAGAAUAAAAGCAAAACCAAUAACCAGAGUAAAUUAACAAGUAAAAGCCAUAAUCAAGCUAGAAUAGAACACGCCCAGAUCAAUAAAUGUCGAAAUUGAGGAAAACCCAAUGCCGAAAAUUGGCAAAGGAAACUAUAACUAAAAGUCUAAAACCCAGUAACAAAACGAAGGUAAGAAAUAAAACCCAUGAGAAAAAAAAAGAGAGAAGAGAGUGGAUUGAAAAACAUUUACAGGGAUCUU